CAGCAGCCACGGGAAUACGGAGGGUGCAAGCGUUAAUCGGAAUUACUGGGCGUAAAGCGCACGCAGGCGGUCUGUCAAGUCAGAUGUGAAAUCCCCGGGCUUAACCUGGGAACUGCAUUUGAAACUGGCAGGCUAGAGUCUUGUAGAGGGGGGUAGAAUUCCAGGUGUAGCGGUGAAAUGCGUAGAGAUCUGGAGGAAUACCGGUGGCGAAGGCGGCCCCCUGGACAAAGACUGACGCUCAGGUGCGAAAGCGUGGGGAGCAAACAGGAUUAGAUACCCCUGUAGUCCCUGUCUCUUAUAA
RNAcentral lists this ribosomal RNA (301 nucleotides) under uncultured bacterium. Its description in RNAcentral is "partial 16S ribosomal RNA". It matches the Rfam family "Bacterial small subunit ribosomal RNA", at positions 509 to 809 of the family's 1533-position model. The record is from RNAcentral.